UGCGUAGGCGGCUUAGUAAGUCAGUGGUGAAAGGCUGUGGCUUAACCAUGGAAUUGCCAUUGAUACUGCUGAGCUUGAAUCAGGUUGAGGUUGGCGGAAUGUGACAUGUAGCGGUGAAAUGCUUAGAUAUGUCAUGGAACACCGAUUGCGAAGGCAGCUGACUGGACCUGUAUUGAUGCUGAGGCACGAAAGCGUGGGGAGCGAACAGGAUUAGAUACCCUGGUAGUCC
This 229-nucleotide ribosomal RNA is filed under the name uncultured bacterium. RNAcentral's name for it is "partial 16S ribosomal RNA". It matches the Rfam family "Bacterial small subunit ribosomal RNA", at positions 568 to 796 of the family's 1533-position model. The record is from RNAcentral.